UUCUAACAUGGUAUCAAAGCUAAGGGCGACCUAACAUUGGCAACCAAGUAGGUUUUCUGGCAACUCUUUGCUCCAGCAUCUUCUUCCCUCUCAUUCCUUCCCUUCUCUCCUCUUUAUCCACCAGCAGAGAGGCGGUAAGAGGAUAGGGUUUGGUCAUGCUGCAUGGAGGAGGACCUAAUCACGCCUAUGUGGAAUGUUUGAUCAGAUCCUCAGGUGGAUCAUGUGGAGCAGAAUUUCUUUGCUGUUCAUGGAUCUUGUUUAGCAUAUUGAAGUUCAUGGAAGCUGUUUAAGGCGUGAUCUGAUUCUGCUGUAUGUGGAUGCUGUUUAGAGUAUUGCAGCAUAGUUUAUCUGCAAUUCGUGAUGUUGUUUAAGGCGUGAUCAGAUUCUCGUGUGGUUCGUGUGGAGCAGAAUGACGAACUGCUAGUCAUAUGUGCAGUUGUAUGUGGGCCUACUAUGUUUGGAGCUGUAGCAGUCUUGGCUGUUCGUGUGGAGCAGAAUCAUGGACUGCUAGUCGCAUGUGCAGUCGUAUGUGGGCCAACUAAGAUUGGAGAUGCAGCAAUCAUCGGCUGAAACUAUAGCACGGAGUGUGAUAAUUACUAUCAGUCGUUCAAAGCAAAAGUUCCCUCAUACAAUGGGGACAAUGAGUUUUGCUUGUUUUUGUGUUGGAAAAGUGAAAGAGGGUGAGAGUGAACCGUCAUAGGCUGACAUUUUUGUGAUGACUCAUACAAGCAAGAAACAAGAUUAUCAUAAUGCAGAAACGAGUAAAAUACUUGCAAAAUAUACUUUGAGUUCGGCAUUGGCACUAUUUAAGCAUACCAACUCAAUGCUAUGUAUCAUGACCUUGGCAACUGUCCACAAGCAGUUUGCUUAUGUAAGUGUCUGGUCUAAGAUCAUUUUCACAUGUAGCAAAGAACUACAUCAUGGAGCUUUCAUUUGGAGGAGAGCUCAGGAGAAUGAGGUGGAUAAAGCAAUCCUCGUGAUACCCAAGGUAUGAAAUCGGCUUUAUGAAAUGGGCAGCAAUUAUUUUUGAAGAUAGUGAACUUGUGGGCGAAUUUGAUCUUACCUAAAAUGUCCUCAGUUGCCUCAAAUUCGUCUUGGCACUAGCAGGGAAAUAACUAAUUUCCAAGGGAAGCCUCUCCCAUCUCGCGAGGUCUUACGAGGUCAGUUAUGGGACAAUACUCAUACAAGGGAAGAAAAGCCAACCAAAGGUCUCUUACCCUUCUUUCCUCAAUAGCUUCAACCUCUGGUGGAAUGUGUAGAUAACCAUUGUCCAUCUUCAAGAACCCACCUCAAGGCAAGACAUCUUCAUAUCACUUAUGCCAUAGUUAUUAGCUAAAAAGGUUUGUUACACUAUGGCUGUUUUGAUAUCAAUUCUCCACUUUUACAGCCACUAUAGUUACAAAUAUAAUGUAGGAUUUAGCUACUCAGACUGCAUCAAGACUUUUUAGAAGAAAGGGAAAAGGGUUUGAAACCUGCUGCAU
Long non-coding RNA from Nymphaea colorata (pocket water lily), 1481 nucleotides. RefSeq lists it as uncharacterized. The transcript has 6 exons. The record is from RefSeq and is a predicted model, not a curated record. Lineage: Eukaryota; Viridiplantae; Streptophyta; Magnoliopsida; Nymphaeales; Nymphaeaceae.